CCUACGGGAGGCAGCAGUGGGGAAUUUUGGACAAUGGGGGAAACCCUGAUCCAGCAAUGCCGCGUGUGUGAAGAAGGCCUUCGGGUUGUAAAGCACUUUUGUCCGGAAAGAAAACCUUUGGGCUAAUACCCUGAGGGGAUGACGGUACCGGAAGAAUAAGCACCGGCUAACUACGUGCCAGCAGCCGCGGUAAUACGUAGGGUGCGAGCGUUAAUCGGAAUUACUGGGCGUAAAGCGUGCGCAGGCGGUUCGUUAAGACAGAUGUGAAAUCCCCGGGCUUAACCUGGGAACUGCAUUUGUGACUGGCGAGCUAGAGUAUGGCAGAGGGGGGUAGAAUUCCACGUGUAGCAGUGAAAUGCGUAGAGAUGUGGAGGAAUACCGAUGGCGAAGGCAGCCCCCUGGGCCAAUACUGACGCUCAUGCACGAAAGCGUGGGGAGCAAACAGGAUUAGAUACCCUGGUAGUCCACGCCCUAAACGAUGUCAACUAGUUGUUGGGUCUUCAUUGACUUAGUAACGUAGCUAACGCGUGAAGUUGACCGCCUGGGGAGUACGGUCGCAAGAUUAAAACUCAAAGUAGUUAGUUGGACGUUGUUGAGNGCGACGACGACGACGACGGAGGAGGAG
This 625-nucleotide ribosomal RNA is filed under the name uncultured bacterium. RNAcentral describes it as "bacterial SSU rRNA". It matches the Rfam family "Bacterial small subunit ribosomal RNA", at positions 338 to 956 of the family's 1533-position model. The record is from RNAcentral.